GGGUGAUUAGCUCAGCUGGGAGAGCACCUCCCUUACAAGGAGGGGGUCGGCGAUCCCGUCAUCACCCACCA
This 71-nucleotide transfer RNA is filed under the name Escherichia coli. RNAcentral's name for it is "tRNA-Val". It matches the Rfam family "tRNA". Rfam says of the family: Transfer RNA (tRNA) molecules are approximately 80 nucleotides in length. Lineage: Bacteria; Pseudomonadati; Pseudomonadota; Gammaproteobacteria; Enterobacterales; Enterobacteriaceae. The record is from RNAcentral.